Molecule: ribosomal RNA, 253 nt
Filed under: uncultured bacterium
Lineage: Bacteria
Description: partial 16S ribosomal RNA
Rfam family: Bacterial small subunit ribosomal RNA
Source: RNAcentral
UACGAGGGGGGCUAAUGUUGUUCGGAAUCACUGGGCGUAAAGGGCGUGUAGGCGGUCAGGUUAGUGAGAUGUGAAACGCCCCGGCUCACCCGGGGACCUGCAUCUCAAACUGCCUGGCUUGAGUAUGGGAGAGGAUGAGGGAAUUCCUGGUGUAGCGGUGAAAUGCGUAGAUAUCAGGAGGAACACCGGUGGCGAAAGCGCUCAUCUGGCCCAAUACUGACGCUGAGGCGCGAAAGCUAGGGGAGCAAACGGG